This 253-nucleotide ribosomal RNA is filed under the name uncultured bacterium. RNAcentral describes it as "partial 16S ribosomal RNA". It matches the Rfam family "Bacterial small subunit ribosomal RNA", at positions 524 to 776 of the family's 1533-position model. The record is from RNAcentral.
GACGUAGGGCGCGAGCGUUGUUCGGAUUUAUUGGGCGUAAAGCGCACGUAGGCGGCUUUGUAAGUUGGAUGUGAAAUCCCUCGGCUCAACCAAGGAAGUGCAUCCAAAACUGCGGAGCUUGAGUACUUAAGAGGAUCGCGGAAUUCCCGGUGUAGAGGUGAAAUUCGUAGAUAUCGGGAGGAACACCAGUGGCGAAGGCGGCGAUCUGGGAAGAUACUGACGCUGAGGUGCGAAAGCGUGGGGAGCAAACAGG